Molecule: long non-coding RNA, 256 nt
Organism: Ipomoea nil (Japanese morning glory)
Lineage: Eukaryota; Viridiplantae; Streptophyta; Magnoliopsida; Solanales; Convolvulaceae
Exons: 3
Source: RefSeq, a predicted model, not a curated record
ACCGACUACUCGUUUGGUUGCCCUGUUGACAUGGAAGUAUUGUGGCUACAUGGUGUUUGUAAUGAGAAUCCUUUGGCUCCAAUGUUAAGGCAUUUGGGCCUCAACUUAUAUCAUACUAGUGGUGACAACUCUGUACUGUAUGACCAUGAUCUUGAGAGGAGAAUGUACUUUCUGGUGGUCAUGGACUAAUGGUUCAAGGUUAUUACCCUGUAAUACAAGCUUUGGCUAAAAUUACCCUAAUUCAAAGGUCAACAUU